This 88-nucleotide transfer RNA is filed under the name Marinithermus hydrothermalis DSM 14884. RNAcentral describes it as "tRNA-Leu (GAG) (tRNA-Leu-GAG-1-1)". It matches the Rfam family "tRNA". From Rfam's summary of the family: Transfer RNA (tRNA) molecules are approximately 80 nucleotides in length. Their secondary structure includes four short double-helical elements and three loops (D, anti-codon, and T loops). Further hydrogen bonds mediate the characteristic L-shaped molecular structure. tRNAs have two regions of fundamental functional importance: the anti-codon, which is responsible for specific mRNA codon recognition, and the 3' end, to which the tRNAs corresponding amino acid is attached (by aminoacyl-tRNA synthetases). tRNAs cope with the degeneracy of the genetic code in two manners: having more than one tRNA (with a specific anti-codon) for a particular amino acid; and 'wobble' base-pairing, i.e. permitting non-standard base-pairing at the 3rd anti-codon position. The record is from RNAcentral. Lineage: Bacteria; Thermotogati; Deinococcota; Deinococci; Thermales; Thermaceae.
GCCGGGAUGGCGGAAUUGGUAGACGCGCUAGCUUGAGGGGCUAGUGGCCGCUAAGGCCGUAGGGGUUCAAGUCCCCUUCCCGGCACCA